GGGGUUGUACUGGUUUCGACGGGGGUUUUGAAGUUAGAGUAGCCAUCCGUGGUCCGGAUCCACGUUAAAAGUCGGAUUUAAAUAUAAACGCUAACAACGAAUUAGCAUACGCUGCCUAAUGGCAGCUGUCAGCCUUAAGUCACCUGCUGCUUAAGAAUCUGGCAUCGACUUUGCAGGGCACCUUACCGCCUAAGCUUUGCGGUGGUAAGAGAUUUAUGAAGCUACUGAAUCUGACAGCCUGUUGUUCGGCAGUCGGAUGAGGGAAUGAAUGUAGAGCAACUGUGAUGGGAGAAGCUUUAAUGAAUGGGCUUUCGGACAGGGGUUCGAUUCCCCUCAGCUCCACUU
This is a non-coding RNA of Clostridiales bacterium KLE1615, 345 nucleotides long. It matches the Rfam family "transfer-messenger RNA". Rfam says of the family: Bacterial tmRNA, also known as 10Sa RNA or SsrA, is named for its dual tRNA and mRNA-like properties. Its role is to liberate the mRNA from a stalled ribosome. Lineage: Bacteria; Bacillati; Bacillota; Clostridia; Eubacteriales. The record is from Rfam.